This 253-nucleotide ribosomal RNA is filed under the name uncultured bacterium. RNAcentral describes it as "partial 16S ribosomal RNA". It matches the Rfam family "Bacterial small subunit ribosomal RNA", at positions 524 to 776 of the family's 1533-position model. The record is from RNAcentral.
UACGUAGGCAGCGAGCGUUGUUCGGAAUUACUGGGCGUAAAGAGUGUGUAGGCGGUGCUCCAAGUCUGGUGUGAAAUCUCCCGGCUUAACUGGGAGGGUGCGCCGGAAACUGGAGUGCUCGAGGGUGGGAGAGGUAAGCGGAAUUCCUGGUGUAGCGGUGAAAUGCGUAGAUAUCAGGAGGAACACCUGUGGUGUAGACAGCUUACUGGACCAUUUCUGACGCUGAGACACGAAAGCGUGGGUAGCAAACAGG